CCUACGGGAGGCAGCAGUGAGGAAUAUUGGUCAAUGGACGAGAGUCUGAACCAGCCAAGUAGCGUGAAGGAUGACUGCCCUAUGGGUUGUAAACUUCUUUUAUAAAGGAAUAAAACGAGUCACGUGUGCCUUUUUGCGUGUACUUUAUGAAUAAGGAUCGGCUAACUCCGUGCCAGCAGCCGCGGUAAUACGGAGGAUCCGAGCGUUAUCCGGAUUUAUUGGGUUUAAAGGGAGCGUAGAUGGGUUGUUAAGUCAGUUGUGAAAGUCUGCGGCUCAACCGUAAAAUUGCAAUUUAUACUGGCAGUCGUGAGUACAGUUGAGGUAGGCGGAAUUCGUGGUGUAGCGGUGAAAUGCUUAGAUAUCACGAAGAACUCCGACUGCGAAGGCAGCUCACUGGACUGCAACUGACACUGAGGCUCGAAAGUGUGGGUAUCAAACAGGAUUAGAUACCCUGGUAGUC
This 460-nucleotide ribosomal RNA is filed under the name uncultured bacterium. RNAcentral describes it as "partial 16S ribosomal RNA". It matches the Rfam family "Bacterial small subunit ribosomal RNA", at positions 338 to 795 of the family's 1533-position model. The record is from RNAcentral.